AUUGAACGCUGGCGGCAGGCCUAACACAUGCAAGUCGAACGAGUGGCGGACGGGUGAGUAAUGUCUGGGAAACUGCCUGAUGGAGGGGGAUAACUACUGGAAACGGUAGCUAAUACCGCAUACCCUCAGUUGUGCCCAGAUGGGAUUAGUUAGUUGGUGGGGUAACGGCUCACCAAGGCGACGACCCCUAGCUGGUCUGAGAGUUUGACCGGCAACACGGGAACGGGGACACGGUCCAGACUCCUACGGGAGGAAGCAGGGGGGAAUAUUGCACAAUGGGCGAAAGCCUGAUGCAGACAUGCCGCGUGUAUGAAGAAGGCCUUCGGGUGGUAAAGUACUUUCAGCGGGGAGGCGUUACCCGCAGAAGAAGCACCGGCUAACUCCGUGCCAGCAGCCGCGGUAAUUC
This 406-nucleotide ribosomal RNA is filed under the name uncultured bacterium. RNAcentral's name for it is "partial 16S ribosomal RNA". It matches the Rfam family "Bacterial small subunit ribosomal RNA", at positions 30 to 526 of the family's 1533-position model. The record is from RNAcentral.